Molecule: ribosomal RNA, 497 nt
Filed under: uncultured bacterium
Lineage: Bacteria
Description: partial 16S ribosomal RNA
Rfam family: Bacterial small subunit ribosomal RNA
Source: RNAcentral
GAUGAACGCUGGCGGCGUGCCUAAUACAUGCAAGUCGAGCGAACAGACGAGGAGCUUGCUCCUCUGACGUUAGCGGCGGACGGGUGAGUAACACGUGGAUAACCUACCUAUAAGACUGGGAUAACUUCGGGAAACCGGAGCUAAUACCGGAUAAUAUAUUGAACCGCAUGGUUCAAUAGUGAAAGACGGUUUUGCUGUCACUUAUAGAUGGAUCCGCGCCGCAUUAGCUAGUUGGUAAGGUAACGGCUUACCAAGGCAACGAUGCGUAGCCGACCUGAGAGGGUGAUCGGCCACACUGGAACUGAGACACGGUCCAGACUCCUACGGGAGGCAGCAGUAGGGAAUCUUCCGCAAUGGGCGAAUGCUUGACGGAGCAACGCCGCGUGAGUGAUGAAGGUCUUCGGAUCGUAAAACUCUGUUAUUAGGGAAGAACAAAUGUGUAAGUAACUAUGCACGUCUUGACGGUACCUAAUCAGAAAGCCACGGCUAACUACGUG